CAAAGAGCGGCCGUCUUUCUGGAGAGACCAAGGCACAGGGUCAGCUCCAUUGCACUUGAUCUGAAUCGUCCCUGUGUGGCCAUUUCUGGUGUUUGAAAUUUCAAGUUUUUCUGCUGACACAGGAUGGGUUAAAACAACCCAAAGCGCGCCUGCCUUUUCCUCCUCUGCGCUCCGUAUCUCCCCAGCCGCCCACCAGGCUGCACCUCUGACCAGGUCCUGAGCUGCAAAGCGAGUACUAUUACCCAGGUCACCUAAAAUACCUUGCUGUUUCGGGGUGAUUCCCCGCCUCACACUCCCAUCUGCUGCCCAUCACUCCAGGUCAUCGACCCCUGGCGGCCGGGACAGCUCGGCUCAGGCCUGCGCUCCGGGGCAUCUCACCUCAGCCAGGACUUCGGAGAAGAGCGGGCCUGGGCAAGCUUGCGGGGUGCCCUUUCAGGGUGCCUGCCCUGCGAGAAGUGUGGCCGGAAGCCCACCACCACCAGGGCGCAGAGGGGAGAGAGGAGCGCAGGGCCUGCCUGCGUUCCAGCGCGCACUCGGGAAGCUGAUCUCGCGCUUCCCAGUUUUCCCGGUCCGCGACUUCCUGCAGCUCGCAACACCCUCGACCCCACCCCGCCCUGGGAGGAGGUUUUCUCGGAGGUCGGGAACUCGGAACGAUAAUCAUGCACUCCUCUCACCGCGCUGGGUGAAGAACUGGCCACCUUCCCGCAGGCUGUGUGGCUACACGUGCGGGCAGACACGAUUCACAGGGCCACUGAGUCGCGAGCUAAGCUUCUGGAGGUCACCUGACUAUAGAGUUCACAGUCCUCAUUUACAAAAUCGGGGCCACGGGAGGCCUUUCGGUUCCUGGGUCCCUGGGUCCCUUCGCGUCUGAGCGCCCGGAUUUAGCACAGACGAUUCGCACGCAUCUACAUUUGAAUCCCAUCACCGAACACCGCUAAAUCCAGCGCAGACCUCCGCUGUCUUCCAGUCCCUCGGCUACUUUCUAGCUCACUGUUUUCUGCAGGGGUGAUUAACGAUCCCAGAUAGUGUAAGGAAUUCAACUUCUCAAGCUCAGCAUUUUCAAUUCUUUAAUUUGUCCCUAGGCGGCCGUUAGUGAUCGCGACUGUAGAUCACAUGGUACGGGCCAGGUAGAGAGAGCAGCUGAUUCAACAUUGUUGAGUUGGGGUUUGGUUUCGUUUUUAAAAAGCGACUCAGAAAGUAGCCCCUAGAGAACUUCAGGAAGGCAGCAGGCUGCAGCCUGCAGAGGUCCCUAAGCUAGACCCCUUUGGGUUGUCACCACUCGGAUUCCUUUAGACAGUGAAGGGCAAGCAAACAGCCAAGGCCCUCUGGGCCUUGGCCUCCGAUGUGGGUGAAGCAAGUGGAUGGGGAAACCCAGGUUCACAGGUUUCCUGCCCCCAUGCUGAGGCCUCACUAGGAGAACCAAGCUCUUCCAGGUCUAACCUGCUUCCUCUGUGCACCAACGAAUGCAUGGCCCUGGGGGGAACAGGGCCUCUGCUGGGGAGAUGAGAAGGUCCCUCCUCAAGGCUGCGUCAGAGGCUCCACGGGUUGGCGUCUUUGUAGCAGACACUCCUUCACUCCCCAUCUUUCCCCCAUCCUACUCUGUGCCCUGACCAUUCCUCUAUCCUAUUUUAAAAGGGAACUUGUCUCUCCUGGUAGUGGGAGGGGGGACAGGAUCUUUCCGAGUUGUCUCAGCAGCUACCACUGUUUCUCUUCAUACUCUUUUCCUCCUGAAGAGACAAACUUUGGAGAUGGCUCCCUUCGUGCACCUCAGGACUCCCAAAUGCCAGGGGGUGUAUGAGAGGAGAGGCGAGAGGAGGAAGAGGAGACUGAGGGGAGAGGGG
This 1841-nucleotide long non-coding RNA is filed under the name Heterocephalus glaber (naked mole-rat). RNAcentral describes it as "lncRNA (ENSHGLG00000035863.1)". The record is from RNAcentral. Lineage: Eukaryota; Metazoa; Chordata; Mammalia; Rodentia; Bathyergidae.